UGGGUGGGGUGGUUCGUUUGUAGUUUUCCCUGAAAUUAUUUAAUAGGCUACGCAUGAGCUGGCGUUCUAGGGCGGGGUGUCCGGCGACGGUUUCAUUUUACGCAAAAUGCCCAAUGAAACCCUGCACUACUCUCCGUUGCUACUGAGAAGGUGAAAGGAAUUGCAGUUGGCGAGCCUUUUCAGGAUUUAGCUGCUUGCUGAAGGAAGGAGGAAGGAUGGUAGAUUGUCUGCAGGAAUUAUGCCUUUAAGCUUGUAGGAUAGUCUCUAACAACUUAAAAGUACUUUAUGUUUGAUCUUGUAAUGACUUAGUUUUUUAUGUUUCUAUAUUCUCCCUUUUGCUU
Alnus glutinosa is the source of this 341-nucleotide long non-coding RNA. RefSeq lists it as uncharacterized. The record is from RefSeq and is a predicted model, not a curated record. The transcript has 2 exons. Lineage: Eukaryota; Viridiplantae; Streptophyta; Magnoliopsida; Fagales; Betulaceae.